CUCACUGUGAGGAGAGAGCCUCCUUGUUCAGUGGAAACUAGGUAACACUGACUAAGGAGCUCAACGA
RNAcentral lists this non-coding RNA (67 nucleotides) under Prochlorococcus marinus subsp. marinus str. CCMP1375. Lineage: Bacteria; Bacillati; Cyanobacteriota; Cyanophyceae; Synechococcales; Prochlorococcaceae. The record is from RNAcentral.